CAGUCGCCGCGGUAAUACGUAGGUCCCGAGCGUUGUCCGGAUUUAUUGGGCGUAAAGCGAGCGCAGGCGGUUAGAUAAGUCUGAAGUUAAAGGCUGUGGCUUAACCAUAGUACGCUUUGGAAACUGUCUAACUUGAGUGCAGAAGGGGAGAGUGGAAUUCCAUGUGUAGCGGUGAAAUGCGUAGAUAUAUGGAGGAACACCGGUGGCGAAAGCGGCUCUCUGGUCUGUAACUGACGCUGAGGCUCGAAAGCGUGGGGAGCAAACAGGAUUAGAUACCCCAGUAGUCCCUGUCUCUUAUACA
Molecule: ribosomal RNA, 301 nt
Filed under: uncultured bacterium
Lineage: Bacteria
Description: partial 16S ribosomal RNA
Rfam family: Bacterial small subunit ribosomal RNA
Source: RNAcentral